RNAcentral lists this long non-coding RNA (374 nucleotides) under Homo sapiens (human). RNAcentral's name for it is "HSALNT0328090". Lineage: Eukaryota; Metazoa; Chordata; Mammalia; Primates; Hominidae. The record is from RNAcentral.
UGGCAGUUAUUUAAACAGAAGGCUCCAGGAGACAUACAAUCAACACUCCACUCAGACAAUGCCCAGACCUCCAGAAACCAUGUGUCAAGCUCGGAUUGCCUUAGACAGCUCACCCAGCUGGAACUCUUAUGGGACCUUGGCACCAGAGACCACAAAUUCCUCUUUGAAGUUUUCUAACAGCAACAAUGGUAUUUCUGACUUGGCUUUCUUGUAUUUCUCUCACGUUAACAAAAUUGGUUCAGCAUCUACCAUGGGCUACAUGCUGAGCUACAGAGUGAGACUCUGUCUCAAAAAAAAAGAAAAAAUAAAUAAUCAAAUGUAAAGUUAGCACAUAAAGGAGGCAUGUACAUAUUAUUAAAAUCUAUAUGACUACC